CUCGUAGCUUGCUAUGAGAACAGUUAGUGGCAGACGGGUGAGUAAUGCAUAGGAAUCCACCUAGUAGUAUAGGAUAGCCACUAGAAGUGGUGGGUAAUACUGUAUAAUCCCCGCGGGGGAAAGAUUUAUCGCUACAUGAUGAGCCUAUGUUAGAUUAGCUAGUUGGUGGGGUAAUGGCCUACCAAGGCAGUGAUCUAUAGCUGGUCUGAGAGGAUGAUCAGCCACACUGGAACUGAGACACGGUCCAGACUCCUACGGGAGGCAGCAGUGGGGAAUAUUGGACAAUGGGCGCAAGCCUGAUCCAGCUAUGCCGCGUGAGUGAGGAAGGCCUUAGGGUUGUAAAACUCUUUCAGUGGGGAAGAUAAUGACGGUACCCACAGAAGAAGUCCCGGCAAACUCCGUGCCAGCAGCCGCGGUAAUACGGAGGGGGCAAGCGUUGUUCGGAAUUAUUGGGCGUAAAGGGCAUGUAGGUGGUUUGGUUAGUUAAAGGUGAAAUGCCAGGGCUUAACCCUGGAGCUGCUUUUAAUACUGCCAGACUGGAGUCCGGGAGA
RNAcentral lists this ribosomal RNA (551 nucleotides) under Anaplasma bovis. RNAcentral's name for it is "bacterial SSU rRNA". It matches the Rfam family "Bacterial small subunit ribosomal RNA", at positions 72 to 655 of the family's 1533-position model. Lineage: Bacteria; Pseudomonadati; Pseudomonadota; Alphaproteobacteria; Rickettsiales; Anaplasmataceae. The record is from RNAcentral.